RNAcentral lists this ribosomal RNA (264 nucleotides) under uncultured bacterium. RNAcentral describes it as "partial 16S ribosomal RNA". It matches the Rfam family "Bacterial small subunit ribosomal RNA", at positions 793 to 1055 of the family's 1533-position model. The record is from RNAcentral.
GUCCGCGCUGUAAACGAUGAGUGCUAGACGGUGGAGGUAUUGACCCCUUCGCUGCCGAAGCUAACGCGUUAAGCACUCCGCCUGGGGAGUACGGUCGCAAGACUAAAACUCAAAGGAAUUGACGGGGCCCGCACAAGCGGUGGAGCAUGUGGUUUAAUUCGACGCAACGCGCAAAACCUUACCUGGGUUAAAUCCGCCGGAACCUGUCUGAAAGGAUGGGGUGCCCUUCGGGGAAUCGGUGAGAAGGUGCUGCAUGGCUGUCGU